RNAcentral lists this ribosomal RNA (599 nucleotides) under uncultured bacterium. Its description in RNAcentral is "bacterial SSU rRNA". It matches the Rfam family "Bacterial small subunit ribosomal RNA", at positions 338 to 956 of the family's 1533-position model. The record is from RNAcentral.
CCUACGGGAGGCAGCAGUGGGGAAUCUUGCGCAAUGGGCGAAAGCCUGACGCAGCAACGCCGCGUGCGGGAUGAAGGCCUUAGGGUUGUAAACCGCUUUCAGCAGGGAAGAAAAUGACUGUACCUGCAGAAGAAGGUGCGGCCAACUACGUGCCAGCAGCCGCGGUGACACGUAGGCACCAAGCGUUGUCCGGAUUUAUUGGGCGUAAAGAGCUCGUAGGCGGUUCAGUUAGUUGGGUGUGAAAACUCCGGGCUUAACCCGGAGCCGCCACCCAAUACUGCUGUGACUAGAGUUCGGUAGGGGAGCGGGGAAUUCCUAGUGUAGCGGUGAAAUGCGCAGAUAUUAGGAGGAACACCGGUGGCGAAGGCGCCGCUCUGGGCCGAAACUGACGCUGAGGAGCGAAAGCAUGGGUAGCAAACAGGAUUAGAUACCCUGGUAGUCCAUGCCGUAAACGUUGGGCACUAGGUGUGGGCUUCAUCCAACGAAGUCCGCGCCGUCGCUAACGCAUUAAGUGCCCCGCCUGGGGAGUACGGUCGCGAGACGAAACUACGAAGAAGUAGACGGCGUGAGACGUUGCGAGGACGACGACGAGGGAGAGG